Molecule: transfer RNA, 82 nt
Filed under: Dendronephthya gigantea
Lineage: Eukaryota; Metazoa; Cnidaria; Anthozoa; Malacalcyonacea; Nephtheidae
Description: tRNA-Ser
Rfam family: tRNA
About the family: Transfer RNA (tRNA) molecules are approximately 80 nucleotides in length. Their secondary structure includes four short double-helical elements and three loops (D, anti-codon, and T loops).
Source: RNAcentral
GUAGUCGUGGCCGAGUGGUUAAGGCGACAGACUUGAAAUCUGUUGGGAUAUUCCCGCGCAGGUUCAAAUCCUACCGACUACG